CCACAGCCACGCAGAAUCCGUAAGCCACUGAGUGAGGCCAGGGGUCGAACCCUCAACCUCAUGGUUCCUAUUCAGAUUUGUUUCUGCUGCGCCACAACGGGAACUCAAAGGCCAGCUGUUCUGGACUUCCUUCCUUAGCCACCAAUGAGGAGAGAGUCUUAGAAACCUUGCAGGGUAGGAAAUUAAGGAGAACUUAGAGGAAUGAAAUUGUUCUCACAAAGUUUUGCUUUCUCAAAUUUUGUUUGUUGAACAAACUGCAUUAUGGGAAAUGGCCAGCGGAGGAAUAUUGAUUUUUCAAAGCAGCGCGGUGCUUUAGGAAGGGAUGACAUGGCUUUUACUGAAAUCGCAGAAUGGCUUUAUUUUUGUCCAUGCCCCCUGGAAUGGCCUGGGGGGAAGGAAUGUGUAAUAAAAGUAAGAAAAGGAAUAGAAGGAACGUCAUUGGGGUAGGAUGCCAGAGUAUGCGGGUUCCAGCUCUUCCAUACCUGAGGAAGGGGAGAGAUUGAAUAUCGGAAACAAAAGAAAAACAAGCGAAAUGAGACAAGAUGCAGCAGAUUUACUGAUUUUCAUAUCACCAGCACGUUCACCUCUCCUUUGCAGGUCAGGCACCUUUUCUCUCUCGGCGGCAAAGCUUCAGUGCUCCAGGCCGGCAUCAGGCCAUCAGAGUGACUCAAACCACAGUGAUGCCACUUCCUAGAGUCCAGGGUCUAACCCCAUCCCUCUUUCCCCUCCUCUUCCCGUGUCCUGGCACCAAAGCUUUAAAACGAUGGGGAAGGAGAAUACUGCUUCCUCUCCCUAUCGCUGCUCUGUGUGCCCCCCAAUAAUUUAUAUGGUCCCAACUUUCCCCGGAUCCCCACCCCCCUCUGCUUCCAGGCAGUCACGAGCCAGGGGCAUCUGGGUGGACCCAGAAGAAUGCCUGUCUUUUUCUCCAAAAGCCCGUGUGGGAAAUAACAGCUAUUCUAUAGAGCACGGCUCUGCCCGGAGAGGAUGAGGACUGCGCUUUCCUAGAUGACAAAGACAGGGGUCAAGGUUUGGCCGUUGACUUCCAGCCCGGAGAUAAGAACUGUGAGAGCCAAAGCUCUAGGGAGAUGCAACAGCCAAGCAUCCAGUGAACUGGGCAGCAAAGGCCCAAAGAGAUCUGGGGCAUCGAGUUUAUCCCAAGUCUGCGGGUGGCUUGGGGCACAUCUGCUUCAGCUCGUAGGUGAUCUGUAGGUCUCUCCUUCUAGAACCUGCAGUUAUCUGGGUUCCAUGGCAGAUGGUGGAAGGGCAAGAGACCAAUCAAAAACAUACAGGUGCACUUCAAGCCCCUGGCCAGCCAAGGCUGAACAAGCGUCUGUUCAUUUACCAUCAGCCCAAGGAUGACAAGUGGCCAAACCCAAAAUCAGGGGGCAGGGAAUUCGACUCUGCCCCGGGGAAGCAAGGAUGAACUGCAAACAGAUGAUGCUCUCUGUUUUAAGAGCCAGGCAUGGCCCCUAGUUUCCGGCUGCACUGGUGGCUGUGCCCUUUACCAGGGGAAGGAAGUAAGGGCAGUGGCACAGGUUAGGGAGAGCUCAUGCGUUCAGCCUUGGAUAUUUGAUUCUGAGAUGUCUUGGGUACCAAAGCGGCAGGAGCUACGGAGAAGUCUGGCCUGAAGGUAUGUAUCCGGGAGAUGCAGCAAAGACUAGUCGUGCCCUGUUCUCCACCCACUAACCCCUUGUGUCGUUUUAGAAGAACAUCUGAUUUUUAGGGGCCACCAUACGUUUCCAAACCUCCCUUGAGUUAGAGUGGCCACCUGACUGAAUUUUAACCCAUGAAGUGUAAGCCAUGUCAUGUAUGACUUCUGUGAAGUACCCCUAAAGGAAAGGCUGUGUCCUUCCCCCUGACCUCUUCCUUCCUGCUAACAGAAAUGUGGUUGUGAUGGCUGGAGCCCAGGAAGUCAUCUUGGACCAUGAGGUAAAAAGUCCUCUGUUGAGACUGGCAGAGUGACAGGCAGGCCAGUUCCCUGACAAGAAGUACUCUUUUCUAGUAUUUAGGCUUCGGAUACUUGGAGUUUCCUCUCAUCUAUAUUCAAGCCCAGUCCUGGUACAAAAGUCACGAAAGCAAAGAAGUGCUGACAGGCAUUGAGCUUAGCCUCCAGCCUCUAAGACGAGGAUAUAGAACAGAUGUAAGGCGAGCCCAGGACGGGGCGUGAGCAUUGCCAACAUGGAACAGCCAGUGGAAGAGGCUACGUCCACAGAGACAGAGGCAGGCAGAGAGGGAGAAGGAGCAGGGAGACGGGUGUCGUGGACUUGGGCGUGGAAGGAAGGGAGUAUUUCUGGGAGGAGGGAGUCUCUGAAUGUGGGAAUCAGGCUGACCUGCCAGAUGACGGCAGAGGACACGAGCUAAGUUUGGUGCACUAGUGGGGUCUUUGCACCCCCAAAAGUGUCCUCUGGAAGACUUAGGAAGAAAAUAAAACUCUAUUACAGUUAUUAAAACAUAAUUCUCAACUUUUUUUUUUUUUUUUUUUG
Phacochoerus africanus (Common warthog) is the source of this 2483-nucleotide long non-coding RNA. RefSeq lists it as uncharacterized. Lineage: Eukaryota; Metazoa; Chordata; Mammalia; Artiodactyla; Suidae. The transcript has 3 exons. The record is from RefSeq and is a predicted model, not a curated record.